RNAcentral lists this ribosomal RNA (395 nucleotides) under uncultured bacterium. Its description in RNAcentral is "bacterial SSU rRNA". It matches the Rfam family "Bacterial small subunit ribosomal RNA", at positions 29 to 425 of the family's 1533-position model. The record is from RNAcentral.
AUUGAACGCUGGCGGCAUGCCUUACACAUGCAAGUCGAACGGCAGCACGGGAGCAAUCCUGGUGGCGAGUGGCGAACGGGUGAGUAAUAUAUCGGAACGUGCCCGGUCGUGGGGGAUAACGUAGCGAAAGCUACGCUAAUACCGCAUACGAUCUACGGAUGAAAGCGGGGGAUCGCAAGACCUCGCGCGAUUGGAGCGGCCGAUAUCAGAUUAGGUAGUUGGUGAGGUAAAGGCUCACCAAGCCGACGAUCUGUAGCUGGUCUGAGAGGACGACCAGCCACACUGGGACUGAGACACGGCCCAGACUCCUACGGGAGGCAGCAGUGGGGAAUUUUGGACAAUGGGCGCAAGCCUGAUCCAGCAAUGCCGCGUGCAGGAUGAAGGCCUCGGUGUAG